CUCUAUGAUGAUUCUGAUUGAAUCUCAUUUGAUUCCACCUACGAGACUUUUAAAUCUGACUUAU
This 64-nucleotide small nucleolar RNA is filed under the name Bemisia tabaci. RNAcentral's name for it is "small nucleolar RNA SNORD30". It matches the Rfam family "Small nucleolar RNA SNORD30". Rfam says of the family: U30 is a member of the C/D class of snoRNA which contain the C (UGAUGA) and D (CUGA) box motifs. U30 is encoded within the U22 snoRNA host gene (UHG) in mammals and is thought to act as a 2'-O-ribose methylation guide for ribosomal RNA. The record is from RNAcentral. Lineage: Eukaryota; Metazoa; Arthropoda; Insecta; Hemiptera; Aleyrodidae.